CUGCCCCUAACUGCUCUCUCAUCGUUAAUUAAACGUGUUGCCUUUUACAGAAUGGAUGUUUAUACAUUUCCAAUAUAAAUAAAUUCGAAACCAUCCUCUCUCUCUGUCUCUCUCUCUCCUCCUUUCCCUUUGGUCUCUCGCCAUUUACAGGCGCUUCUUGGCAUGAGCCCUGAGUGGUGGACACCUUGAAAAUAAAUGAAGUUUUGAGAUGCAAAUCCAAACAAGAACAUUAAAUUAGCUCCCUUUUUUCUUUCACCCCGAGAUAUCUGGAGACGUAUACAAGGGUGGUGGGAAGUGAACUGAAAAUCCCACCUACUUGGGAAAAGAAAGAAUCUGGGUGGGUUAGGAAGCCGGGUAUCAUCUCGGCCCUUCCCACCUCCUUCGGUGGCGGCCAGCCAGGCCGAGGCUGAUAAUAGUUUAACAGAUCUAUGAAGAAUUUCAAGAAGGAGCCGACUUUGGUUCUUGGGGGGUUGGAGGAGGAGGGGUGUAUUCCACCUGGACUCCACCCACGUUUUGUUUCCUCUGCAACAGAGAGACGCGGCUGCUCUCGGUGGGGGACGCGCCCCUCACUGCGCAGAACCUGCGGUCCCAUCUCCCCGGAUUGUAAGAAAAGCGCACCCGCACGCGGGCAUGGUGCUCCUGUCUCACAUCGGGCCAACGGUUUACUCGAGCCAUUGGCACAGUCUCUGACUUAAAGGAGGAGAAAGCGGGUACCGGGGUUCGCUCGGGCCUGAGGAGGGGGAGGUGGGCCACUCUGGCCUCCCGCACGCUCACCGCGCCCCUCCUCCUGUGUUGACCACUUAAGAACCCAAAUUGAGUCGUAAUUAAUUUCCCCUUCUCCGUCAUAAAUUGUUCCAUCCACUUUUCCCCUCCAUCUCACCUCCCAGAACGCACACACUAAAUCUCCCCUCCCCCGAGACGUCUCAAUUUCCUUCCUAUCGAUCCGGACUCCACUUUCCUUGAUUCCUGUUGCUGGAACCUCGGUCCCCUCCACCACCGGCAAGCCGCGUCCCCGACGGCCCUGUCCUGGUGGCUUCCCCAGCUGGGUACCACGGACUUUGCCCGCCCCAGGAGAAACGGAGGGAGCCUCAUGCCAUUCUCCUUUGGCUGAAACGUUUCAAACAUUUGAACAGGUGAGACAGCUGGCUGCCAUCUUCUUCAAACCCCUCCUGGGAAGUUGGCUUGUUGUGACCCUAGUAGCCACUCUCGCACUAAUUGUGUGUGUGUGUGUGUGCUCGUUCCCCCUUUCUCUAUCUCCUCCAGUAACCCUCUGCGACUCAGAUAAUAUUUAUCCACAUCCCCCCUCCCCAUAUUUCCAUUCCCUCAAUCGCGUUUUUCUUCCCCCACUAAUGUGUCACUUUCUGUAUCUGUCUCGCUUCGUCCAUCUCUCUCCGCCCUAAAGUUUGGCGGUUACUGACGACUUGUGGGCUUUUAGAAGCAAACUGCAACCACGCGGUAAACACGAUUUUCUUAGCCGGAAUCUGGUCGGCCCAGGGCAGGAGGGUCCCUGGCCCGCGUCUGCUCGGGCCCUUCCGCCCGGGGCGCCCCGCGGCGAGGACAGCGGGACCCUUCCUGCCUCCCACCUGGGCCGCCGCUCGCCUCCUUCCCGCCCCGGGAGCUGCGCUGGGGCCGCUGUCUGCCCGGAAGGAGGGAACGGCCGCGGGUCCCCAGCAGAACGGUCGCGGGAACUCCGCCGCCUCCGCUGGAAGUCGAUACUAAGCGGUUGGGCCGGCGCGGGCGCGGGACGUCGGGGCGGCAGCCAGCGGGUCCUGCACGUCUCAUCAUUUAGCUAAUCGAGUCGAAAAGUUUCUGUAAGGGCCAGACCCGGCAUCAGAUGGUAACACUGAUUGAACAAGAGAUUAGCACAAUAGAUCUCUAACCGAGGGGAAGCUUGCUUUUCACGCUACGCGCCGUAAUUAAUGGGAGGUUCCAAUGAGACACCGGGGAGUGGAUGGAUGAAGCCAGGUCUUGGCCGAGGAAGGGUGAGCGCAGGGGCCGGCCGCGCCGAGGGAGUCGGAGAGGCAGCCCCGCGGGCGGCGGAAUCGAAAUCAGGCUCGUUUGGAGGCUACUUCAAGAAGACCGCGCAGGACUGCCCCCCGGGGCCGCCACCCUCCCGCGCGCGCACACGUGCACGCGUCCACGCAGGCCCGGCCUCCUAGGCCGCGGUGGGCCUCGUGCUGCGGCCCGCGCCUGCCUCCGGGCUGAACAACCGAAGCUGAGCAAAGGAAAUUCAGAAUUUGUCAAUUUCGGUUGGUUUGUUUUGUCCUUCCGACCUUCCUUUUGUAUAAUUACUGGAUUCCUCGCACAGUUGCAGCCGCGGCCUCGGCAGCCGGGGGGCGAUGGGCAGCCAGCUCGCCGCUCCAGUCGGUUUCGCGGGAGGCUGUGUAGACGGCGAUGGGAGCGGUUCGGAGCCCGCGGGCCACAAAGCGGUGCAGCUGCGGGAAUCAACCCAGAUGCAUUUAGGGUCAGGUGCAACCGGGGGAUCAUUCAGAUACAGAAAAUCCUUGGAGUUUCGCCGGCAUCUCAGGAUGGAGUAACUGCCCCCACCCUCCCCCCUUCCUCAACCAGGAACCUCUUGCGAAGUGGGGAUCCAUCCAAUGGGCUAGUGUUAUAUCCUGGAAAUUAU
RNAcentral lists this long non-coding RNA (2626 nucleotides) under Equus caballus (horse). RNAcentral describes it as "lncRNA (ENSECAG00000049735.1)". Lineage: Eukaryota; Metazoa; Chordata; Mammalia; Perissodactyla; Equidae. The record is from RNAcentral.